GCGCUACCAUUAGUGCCCCUCUGUAUGUAGGCCGGACUGUGCGGAAUGGUGGGAACAGAGAACAACUUUUAACAAUGGAUCUCUAGGCUCUUGCAACGAUGAAGAACGCAGCGAAAUGCGAAACGUAAUGUGAUCCGCAUACACCUGUGAGUCAUCAAGUCUUUGAACGCACAUGGCACUCGCGGCCUCGGCUGCGAGUAUACCUGUUUGAGAAUCGGUUCCGAGUGGCCCUCCGCAGGGCGGGCCGAGCUGGCGGCUCUUGGCGCAGGCCAAGUCCGCUCAAAGGAAGCGUGUGGGGCCGGGGUCGCCACCCUAGCGCCGUGUGGUACGGGACAGUUUGUCUUUGCGAGCACGGAUGCAACGCCAGGGCGGCGGCGGCGGCACCAACCUGCACGACGGCCUCUCCCCUCCGGGGCGGGAGGCACUACGGCGCAGCCGUGAUCAUUGAUCUCAAAUCAGGCAAGGCUACCCGCUGAACUUAA
RNAcentral lists this ribosomal RNA (482 nucleotides) under uncultured fungus. Its description in RNAcentral is "eukaryotic LSU rRNA". The stretch from base 64 to 217 matches the Rfam family "5.8S ribosomal RNA". Lineage: Eukaryota; Fungi. The record is from RNAcentral.